Molecule: ribosomal RNA, 1388 nt
Filed under: uncultured bacterium
Lineage: Bacteria
Description: bacterial SSU rRNA
Rfam family: Bacterial small subunit ribosomal RNA
Source: RNAcentral
AGAGUUUGAUCCUGGCUCAGGAUGAACGCUGGCGGCGUGCUUAACACAUGCAAGUCGAACGGGAAAUAUUUCAUUGAGACUUCGGUGGAUUUGAUCUAUUUCUAGUGGCGGACGGGUGAGUAACGCGUGGGUAACCUGCCUUAUACAGGGGGAUAACAGUCAGAAAUGGCUGCUAAUACCGCAUAAGCGCACAGAGCUGCAUGGCUCAGUGUGAAAAACUCCGGUGGUAUAAGAUGGACCCGCGUUGGAUUAGCUGGUUGGUGGGGUAACGGCCCACCAAGGCGACGAUCCAUAGCCGGCCUGAGAGGGUGAACGGCCACAUUGGGACUGAGACACGGCCCAGACUCCUACGGGAGGCAGCAGUGGGGAAUAUUGCACAAUGGGGGAAACCCUGAUGCAGCGACGCCGCGUGGAGGAAGAAGGUUUUCGGAUUGUAAACUCCUGUCGUUAGGGACGAUAAUGACGGUACCUAACAAGAAAGCACCGGCUAACUACGUGCCAGCAGCCGCGGUAAAACGUAGGGUGCAAGCGUUGUCCGGAAUUACUGGGUGUAAAGGGAGCGCAGGCGGGAAGACAAGUUGGAAGUGAAAACCAUGGGCUCAACCCAUGAAUUGCUUUCAAAACUGUUUUUCUUGAGUAGUGCAGAGGUAGAUGGAAUUCCCGGUGUAGCGGUGGAAUGCGUAGAUAUCGGGAGGAACACCAGUGGCGAAGGCGGUCUACUGGGCACCAACUGACGCUGAGGCUCGAAAGCAUGGGUAGCAAACAGGAUUAGAUACCCUGGUAGUCCAUGCCGUAAACGAUGAUUACUAGGUGUUGGGGGAUUGACCCCCUCAGUGCCGCAGUUAACACAAUAAGUAAUCCACCUGGGGAGUACGACCGCAAGGUUGAAACUCAAAGGAAUCGACGGGGGCCCGCACAAGCAGUGGAGUAUGUGGUUUAAUUCGAAGCAACGCGAAGAACCUUACCAGGUCUUGACAUCCGAUGCAUAGUGCAGAGAUGCAUGAAGUCCUUCGGGACAUCGAGACAGGUGGUGCAUGGUUGUCGUCAGCUCGUGUCGUGAGAUGUUGGGUUAAGUCCCGCAACGAGCGCAACCCCUAUCCUCAGUAGCCAGCAUUUAAGGUGGGCACUCUGGGGAGACUGCCAGGGAUAACCUGGAGGAAGGCGGGGAUGACGUCAAAUCAUCAUGCCCCUUAUGGCCAGGGCUACACACGUGCUACAAUGGCGUAAACAAAGGGAAGCGAAGUCGUGAGGCGAAGCAAAUCCCAGAAAUAACGUCUCAGUUCGGAUUGUAGUCUGCAACUCGACUACAUGAAGCUGGAAUCGCUAGUAAUCGUGAAUCAGAAUGUCACGGUGAAUACGUUCCCGGGUCUUGCACACACCGCCCGUCA